UACGUAGGUCCCGAGCGUUGUCCGGAUUUAUUGGGCGUAAAGCGAGCGCAGGUGGUUUAUUAAGUCUGGUGUAAAAGGCAGUGGCUCAACCAUUGUAUGCAUUGGAAACUGGUAGACUUGAGUGCAGGAGAGGAGAGUGGAAUUCCAUGUGUAGCGGUGAAAUGCGUAGAUAUAUGGAGGAACACCGGUGGCGAAAGCGGCUCUCUGGCCUGUAACUGACACUGAGGCUUGAAAGCGUGGGGAGCGAACAGG
RNAcentral lists this ribosomal RNA (252 nucleotides) under uncultured bacterium. Its description in RNAcentral is "partial 16S ribosomal RNA". It matches the Rfam family "Bacterial small subunit ribosomal RNA", at positions 524 to 776 of the family's 1533-position model. The record is from RNAcentral.